RNAcentral lists this ribosomal RNA (440 nucleotides) under uncultured bacterium. RNAcentral's name for it is "partial 16S ribosomal RNA". It matches the Rfam family "Bacterial small subunit ribosomal RNA", at positions 338 to 795 of the family's 1533-position model. The record is from RNAcentral.
CCUACGGGUGGCAGCAGUGGGGAAUAUUGCACAAUGGGGGAAACCCUGAUGCAGCGACGCCGCGUGAGGGAAGAAGGAAUUCGUGAUGUAAAGCUCUAUCAGCAGGGAAGAAAAUGACGGUACCUGAGUAACAAGCCCAGGCUAACUAUGUGCCAGCAGCCGCGGUAAUACGUAGGGGGCAAGCGUUAUCCGGAUUCACUGGGUGUAAAGGGAGCGUAGCCGGUAGUGCAAGUCUGGAGUGAAAGGCGGGGGCUCAACCCCCGGACUGCUCUGGAAACUGUACGGCUGGAGUGCAGGAGAGGUAAGUGGAAUUCCGGGUGUAGCAGUGAAAUGCGUAGAUAUUAGGAGGAACACCAGUGGCGAAGGCGGGUUACUGGACUGUAACUGACGCUGAGGCGCGAAGGCGUGGGGAGCAAACAGGAUUAGAUACCCUUGUAGUC